GUUAGCGGUUUCGAAAAGCGCUUCUGUCCACUGCGUUCGCUGAGGCUUAUCUUUCUAGUCACAUCGCGAAAGCCUGGCGAUUGGUCGAAAACCGUUCAGCGCGGUUGAUUAUUCGAUUUUAAACUCGGCGCCGAUGCAUUACGGGUAUUUCGCGCAUGCUCUUUCCCCCCUUUUUGUACCCAAAUUCCAAUUUCCAAACGGUAGGUAUCGGCAGGAAUUUACCGACGCGCUGCGCGCGCUGUUUUCCAACCCCAACCCUCGCGACUUAGGAAUGAGCCAUUGACUCAUGCCUGAUAGCGCCGAAUGAGUGUCCCUCGACACCUAAUGUUCCUGACUCAGAGGGAAAUUACCGCAUCCUAAGGAAGAAGUAAGCUAACGUUUUGCGUUUCGAGUUCUGCCGCAAACUGCGACCAAAACAGAAUAACUCGUACAUGAACGAGGCGCAAAAAAAAACAGGAAACGGAAACCGCUGCUGGAAGGAAAACCAGCGGCUGGUGGGUACGAAGAAAACCGUACGUGGAUCAAGCCCCAGAUAUUUGAGUCGAAAUUCAACCGCUCUGUAAAUCG
Molecule: long non-coding RNA, 567 nt
Organism: Neodiprion fabricii
Lineage: Eukaryota; Metazoa; Arthropoda; Insecta; Hymenoptera; Diprionidae
Exons: 3
Source: RefSeq, a predicted model, not a curated record